This 274-nucleotide non-coding RNA is filed under the name Butyricicoccus pullicaecorum. RNAcentral's name for it is "T-box sequence". It matches the Rfam family "T-box leader". From Rfam's summary of the family: Uncharged tRNA acts as the effector for transcription antitermination of genes in the T-box leader family. The record is from RNAcentral. Lineage: Bacteria; Bacillati; Bacillota; Clostridia; Eubacteriales; Butyricicoccaceae.
GUAAAGGCGAUGAAAAGGAAAGUACAGCGUGACCGAAAGCACAGAGAGCCCCGGUGUGGUGUGACGGGGACUGGAAGCGCGUCUGGAAAAUGGCCUUGGAGCCGCGUACCGACCUGCGUGGGAUGAUCACGCAAUAGGAUGCGAUGGGUGCGCCCAUUACAGCGCCUGGAUAUCGAGCGGCAGUCUGUCCGUUCCGUACCCGCAGAGGUUCGCAUCGUGAGGUGCGGAUAAAGUGAAGGUGGUAACACGAAGCGAUUUCGCUCUCGUCCUUGCA